GACGAACGCUGGCGGCGUGCUUAACACAUGCAAGUCGAACGGAAAGGCCCCUUUGGGGGUACUCGAGUGGCGCACGGGUGAGUAACACGUGAGUAACCUGCCCUUGACUUCGGGAUAACUUCAGGAAACUGGGGCUAAUACCGGAUAGGAAUCCUUGCUGCAUGGUGGGGGUUGGAAAGCUUCGGCGGUUUUGGAUGGACUCGCGGCUUAUCAGCUUGUUGGUGGGGUAGUGGCUUACCAAGGCGUUGACGGGUAGCCGGCCUGUGAGGGUGACCGGCCACACUGGGACUGAGAGACGGCCCAGACUCCUACGGGAGGCAGCUGGGGGGAAUACUGCACAAUGGGCGGCAGCCUGAUGCAGCAACGCCGCGUGCGGGAUGACGGCCUUCGGGUUGGAAACCGCUUUCAGCAGGGGCGAAGCUUGUGGUGACGGUACCUGCAGAAGAAGCACCGGCUAACUACGUG
RNAcentral lists this ribosomal RNA (465 nucleotides) under uncultured bacterium. RNAcentral's name for it is "partial 16S ribosomal RNA". It matches the Rfam family "Bacterial small subunit ribosomal RNA", at positions 28 to 507 of the family's 1533-position model. The record is from RNAcentral.